RNAcentral lists this ribosomal RNA (497 nucleotides) under uncultured bacterium. RNAcentral describes it as "partial 16S ribosomal RNA". It matches the Rfam family "Bacterial small subunit ribosomal RNA", at positions 28 to 507 of the family's 1533-position model. The record is from RNAcentral.
GAUGAACGCUGGCGGCGUGCCUAAUACAUGCAAGUCGAACGGACGGACGCGACGCUUGCUUCUCUGAUGUUAGCGGCGCACGGGUGAGUAACGCGUGGAUCCCCUACCUAUAAGUGGGGGAUCACUUCGGAAAACCGUAGCUAAUCCCGGAUAAUCUUUUGAACCGCAUUGGUCAUAGGUGAAAGACGGUCUUGCUGUCACUUCUAGCUGGAUACGCGCUGCAUUAGCUAGUUGGUAAGGUCACGGCUUACCACGGCAACGAUGCAUAGCCGACCUGAUAGAGGGGUAGGCCACAUGGGAACUGGGACGCCGUCCAGACGCCUACGGGAGGGAGCAGUAGGGAAUGGGCCGCAGUGGGGGAGAGCCUGGCGGAGUAGCGCGGCGUGAGUGGUGAAGACGCUCGGAGCGGAAAGCUCGGUUAUUAGUGAAGAACAUAUGUCGAAUGAGAUGAGCAGAGCGUGACGGUAACGAGUCAGAAAGCCACGGCUAACUACGUG